Molecule: long non-coding RNA, 1963 nt
Filed under: Aquilegia coerulea
Lineage: Eukaryota; Viridiplantae; Streptophyta; Magnoliopsida; Ranunculales; Ranunculaceae
Description: long non-coding RNA (ACOE_LNC001091)
Source: RNAcentral
UUCCUUUGAAGAAAUUUUGAUGACAUGUGCCUGUCUUCCUCUGAGCCUGCAUAUAGCCCAGCCCAACAAAUAGAUUCAUAGAGAAAACUUGAAGGGAGGUUGCAAUAGUGUUUUCAGAGGACCAAGACACACACCAUACACAUUCAAGAAUCAACCAGGAAAAACACUAGUGCCCUUCUGGAUGUCAUUUUGGUUGGCAUGUCGUAGUGUACAAAAUGAAUAAUUUUCGAACAAGUAGUGAAUCUAUGUGCAAAUGCAAAAGACUAGCUAGUUCAAACGAGUCUAAUAUACCACAUACGUUUGCAUCCAUCAGCCUUCACAUAGCAUAAUAGCAAUAAAAUGCAGAGAAUAUCAUAUGUGGUUGUUAGAUACAUUGUAUAGAGUAAAACUUUCUUUUAGGGGAAUGUGCAGAAAGCCAGAAAUGUAUCAAAACUUUGCAUAUAGGUAAUAUACCAAUAGCCACAGUUUUUUGUAUCAUUCUUGCAUCUAAAUUUCUAUUCAUGGAAAUAAAACUACCUCACUCAUGCCUGAUGCCUCUAACCUUUAAUCUGCUAGAAAGAGCAAAUCAUAUCAUCACUUUAGAAAAGAAAAGUCAUCAUUGGUAUGACAAAAAAGCCAACAAAAUAUGCCCCUCUUGUCAGGAAGCGGCACUCACCUCAGAAAUCCAUAAAGAACAAUUUAAAAAGAAUGAACUUUUGAAAGUAUAGGUCAAAAUCAUAUUUUCUAAACCAUAAUAUGGAAUGAAGGUGUGCUUUAAUGCACAAAUAACAUUUUUUUGUACACAUCCACACCAAAUAACUUGCGACUCUAGUAGGGGCAUAAAGUUGUCGAUGUAAAUGACAACUCACAAUUGGGUUUUCGCUACACAUGUACGCCUAUAUUUUGUAUAUAGACCAAAAAAAAAAUUCAGAUCGAUUUUUUUUUUUUUAAUGGCAAUUGGCAAGUGGGGUUGAGGGGACCUUGCCCCUUUAAAUUACGUGUGGAAACAUAUAUCAACAAUCAGCUGUUGACAUGUUUCGAACCCACAACCUCCCCACUUUGUGAGAGGGGUGCUACCAUUGGGCCACAAGCUCAUUUGCAAUUACCAAAGCAACUGGAGCAAAUUUCGAAAUUCAUUGCACAAGUUUUGUGAAAGACCAUGUAAUAAGAGCUGAUCAAGUAAAAGGAAGAAAAAGAAUAUAAUCUAUACCAGUAUACCACGAAACACCACAUUCAUAAUAGAUAUCUAAACAAGGUCUCUGUCUAACAAAUAUAACAAACAUAAAACAUCAAUAUGUUUAAUUCACCAAAAUUGAGUUACCUGACUGAGAACGCUCCUGCCAAUCUGGCUGCCAAAAUUGUUCUACUUGAUUUUCUUCUUUGGCCUCAGCUACAUUUCAAAUCCUCGCCCCAAGAAAAACAAAAGAAAAAAGGAAAGACAAUAAUGAGAAACAACACAUUUUCACCCCCUCCCCCCCUUUGCAAAUUCAACACAUGCAGUCUGAAGAAUCCAAGAAGAGUUCAACACCUAAAUGUACCUGGUUGCUGUGUCCACACUUCUUGUUCCUGACUUCCUGCAGUUCACAGCAUGGGUAUGCAAGCGAGCAUAACACCUAAACCACGAUGCCAUCAAAUUCGCCCCAAGAUCAGUACAGUAUAUCUCAUAAUAGGUUUACAUACUAUCUUGGACAAAUUUAUAUAUAACAAAAAUCAGUACUGGGUAAAGUAAAAAUUGAUGUACCAAAAGACCAAUUUUUUCGAUAAUUAAAACUAUGUGAAAAAACUACUGUUUCUAAUCAAGAUAAAGAUCAAUCUGAGUUAUCGAAUAAAUGAUUAUUGAUGAUGAAAUGAAAUUGCAGGCAUUCAAUCAAUAACCAAAAUGCAUAUUGGCAUGGUAGAUAACUCUCCUUGUACAGUAAAAUGGAUCUAGUCACAUAUGUAUAAAUGGCUUCCCUUCAAUCAAGCAUGAAGACUUGAUAUUCUC